RNAcentral lists this ribosomal RNA (709 nucleotides) under Pseudomonas sp. RNAcentral's name for it is "bacterial SSU rRNA". It matches the Rfam family "Bacterial small subunit ribosomal RNA", at positions 59 to 763 of the family's 1533-position model. Lineage: Bacteria; Pseudomonadati; Pseudomonadota; Gammaproteobacteria; Pseudomonadales; Pseudomonadaceae. The record is from RNAcentral.
CAGUCGAGCGGUUGACGGGAGCUUGCUCCCUGAUUCAGCGGCGGACGGGUGAGUAAUGCCUAGGAAUCUGCCUAUUAGUGGGGGACAACGUUUCGAAAGGAACGCUAAUACCGCAUACGUCCUACGGGAGAAAGCAGGGGACCUUCGGGCCUUGCGCUAAUAGAUGAGCCUAGGUCGGAUUAGCUAGUUGGUGAGGUAAUGGCUCACCAAGGCGACGAUCCGUAACUGGUCUGAGAGGAUGAUCAGUCACACUGGAACUGAGACACGGUCCAGACUCCUACGGGAGGCAGCAGUGGGGAAUAUUGGACAAUGGGCGAAAGCCUGAUCCAGCCAUGCCGCGUGUGUGAAGAAGGUCUUCGGAUUGUAAAGCACUUUAAGUUGGGAGGAAGGGUUGUAGAUUAAUACUCUGCAAUUUUGACGUUACCGACAGAAUAAGCACCGGCUAACUCUGUGCCAGCAGCCGCGGUAAUACAGAGGGUGCAAGCGUUAAUCGGAAUUACUGGGCGUAAAGCGCGCGUAGGUGGUUUGUUAAGUUGGAUGUGAAAGCCCCGGGCUCAACCUGGGAACUGCAUCCAAAACUGGCAAGCUAGAGUACGGUAGAGGGUGGUGGAAUUUCCUGUGUAGCGGUGAAAUGCGUAGAUAUAGGAAGGAACACCAGUGGCGAAGGCGACCACCUGGACUGAUACUGACACUGAGGUGCGAAAGCGUG